CAUAUUAUACCAAAAGUAGCUAAGUUUCUAUACAUGCCAUACCCAAAACAAAACGUCUAAUUAUACCGAGUUAUUUCUUUGAUAGUGUGAUCGGCCUCCGACGUUUCCUUCGAUCCCUGAGUGGCUAGAUAAGUACUUUAAGAAGAAGAAAAUAAAGAGAUUAAGCACUAGGCUUAGUAAGCUUACAAGCAAAUAAAUUACAACAUUCAACAUAAUGGAUAAUUAUGCAUAAUAUCAUCUAACAUCAUAAAUUUCUUUACUUCUCAAUUUCUAUCUUCUUCUUUAUUCCCUUACCUUCUUUCUUACCUGACCUUUCCUUUUUCAUAAAUAUAAUCUACUUUUCC
Molecule: long non-coding RNA, 344 nt
Filed under: Gossypium barbadense (sea-island cotton)
Lineage: Eukaryota; Viridiplantae; Streptophyta; Magnoliopsida; Malvales; Malvaceae
Description: long non-coding RNA (GBAR_LNC005953)
Source: RNAcentral